AGGGUUCGAUUCUGGCUCAGGAUGAACGCUAGCGACAGGCUUAACACAUGCAAGUCGAGGGGCAGCAUAAAAGUAGCAAUACUUGGUGGCGACCGGCGCACGGGUGAGUAACGCGUAUGCAACCUACCUAUCAGGAGGGGAAUAACCCGGCGAAAGUCGGACUAAUACCGCAUAAAACAGGGGCACCGCAUGGUGAUAUUUGUUAAAGAAAUUCGCUGAUAGAUGGGCAUGCGUUCCAUUAGGUAGUUGGUGAGGUAACGGCUCACCAAGCCGACGAUGGAUAGGGGAACUGAGAGGUUGGUCCCCCACACUGGUACUGAGACACGGACCAGACUCCUACGGGAGGCAGCAGUGAGGAAUAUUGGUCAAUGGGCGAGAGCCUGAACCAGCCAAGUCGCGUGAAGGAAGAAGGAUCUAUGGUUCGUAAACUUCUUUUGCAGGGGAAUAAAGUGCAGGACGUGUCCUGUUUUGUAUGUACCCUGAGAAUAAGGAUCGGCUAACUCCGUGCCAGCCGCGGC
RNAcentral lists this ribosomal RNA (518 nucleotides) under uncultured bacterium. RNAcentral's name for it is "bacterial SSU rRNA". It matches the Rfam family "Bacterial small subunit ribosomal RNA", at positions 8 to 518 of the family's 1533-position model. The record is from RNAcentral.